GGGAUGUACACAAUUAUUUUAAAUCAGUCUGAACUAAAUCCAUACAACCUUAAAAUAGCUCAAUUCAUUUGUGUCGAAACAACGAAAAAUAAUGAUUUGAGUCAAACUACUACUUUUGCGCAUGCGCUGAUGACAGGAAAUCCACGUGACCUCGUCAGUUGCCGCGGGCGCCAUUAAUGUGGUGGAGUCCAGUCCAUGGUGGAAUGCUGUAGAAUUGGUUUUUACAAGAGCUCAUUAAAUGGCAUCAUAUGCUUGGGUUAUAGUCUACUUUUUCACAUGUUAUAAAAUUAGCCAUUUCAUUCAGGCAACUGCUGCUGAGCAAUCUGUAGGAGAUUUCUCUGUUCAGAAUAACAGCAUAGACAUGGAAAGAGAAUGCAUCCUCAAAGCACUGUGUGUAUACUUAAAGAAGGACCAUCUACAGCUGUUCAAGGAGUACAAUAAAACGUGCAAAAACUGAGUUCUCUUUCAAGUCUUGUGCUUCAGAGGCCAAAUUCAUACAAAAAUUAUAUCAAUAUGCCCAUCUUGGAUUGCGACUGGAUGAAUGCUAAAGAAGCCAUAGAGCAGAUGGUAAUGGGGAUCUACAUCGUCCAAUCCACAGGACACCAACCAGGAGAUAAACCUGUGGACGUUGGUAUCCUGAUUGAAGGGACAGAGGUUCUCUGUUCUUUGAAGAACGUAGCUGUAGCAGUGACCAUGCUGUUUGGACUUACUUACGCCUUGAACCACAGCUACCCACAAGAACUCAAGGCAAUAUUUGAGGUCUUCCAGAAAGUGUUCUUUAUCUUGGAUGGACAAAAACUUUCACCAAAGGUACAAGCCCCCAAGAACAAGAUACUGGAGUAAGUUACCUUAUGUGUGUAUUCUCAAAAGACUAAAUCUUGACUCAAGAAGGUAUUAGCUGUGCAUAUUCAUUGAAAUAUCAGUAUUGUUCAUCUUGGAUUAUAUUUUUUUGUAUUUUUUCACCUGAAAAUUUGCCUUGAAAUAAGA
Molecule: RNA transcript, 987 nt
Organism: Carassius carassius (crucian carp)
Lineage: Eukaryota; Metazoa; Chordata; Actinopteri; Cypriniformes; Cyprinidae
Exons: 6
Source: RefSeq, a predicted model, not a curated record